Molecule: ribosomal RNA, 253 nt
Filed under: uncultured bacterium
Lineage: Bacteria
Description: partial 16S ribosomal RNA
Rfam family: Bacterial small subunit ribosomal RNA
Source: RNAcentral
UACGUAGGGUGCGAGCGUUAAUCGGAAUUACUGGGCGUAAAGGGCGCGUAGGCGGUCAUGCAAGUGAGAUGUGAAAUCCCCGGGCUCAACCUGGGAACUGCAAUGGAAACUGGCGGGCUUGAAUGCGGCAGAGGGGGGUGGAAUUCCGCGUGUAGCAGUGAAAUGCGUAGAGAUGCGGAGGAACACCGAUGGCGAAGGCAGCCCCCUGGGCCGACAUUGACGCUCAGGCACGAAAGCGUGGGGAGCAAACAGG